This 433-nucleotide ribosomal RNA is filed under the name uncultured bacterium. RNAcentral describes it as "partial 16S ribosomal RNA". It matches the Rfam family "Bacterial small subunit ribosomal RNA", at positions 28 to 507 of the family's 1533-position model. The record is from RNAcentral.
GACGAACGCUGGCGGCAUGCCUAACACAUGCAAGUCGAACGAGACCUUCGGGUCUAGUGGCGCACGGGUGCGUAACGCGUGGGAACCUGCCCGUAGGUUCGGAAUAACUCCCCGAAAGGGAUGCUAAUACCGGAUAAUGUCUUCGGACCAAAGAUUUAUCGCCUUUGGAUGGGCCCGCGUUGGUUUAGCUAGUUGGUAGGGUAAAAGCCUACCAAGGCGACGAUCCAUAGCUGGUCGGAGAGGAUGAUCAGCCAGACUGGGACUGAGACACGGCCCAGACCCGUACGGGAGGCAGCAGUAGGGAAUAUUGGAGACUGGGCGCAAGUCUGAUACAGCAAUGCCGCGUGAGUGAGGAAGGCCUUAGGGUUGUAAAGCUCUUUUACCCGGGAUGAUAAUGACAGUACCGGGAGAAUAAGCUCCGGCUAACUCCGUG